This 259-nucleotide long non-coding RNA is filed under the name Elaeis guineensis (African oil palm). RNAcentral's name for it is "long non-coding RNA (EGUI_LNC077257)". Lineage: Eukaryota; Viridiplantae; Streptophyta; Magnoliopsida; Arecales; Arecaceae. The record is from RNAcentral.
CACUGAGAACCCUAAUGCCUAGAAACCCUUGACUAUAUCAAUCAAAGUAUAAUAAAUGUAAACUAGGAUAAGAAGAAUACUUGUAGCGCUAAUCCAAUUUUUAUGAGGCAUCCAAGUGUCCACCCUCCAACAGUGAUCCACACAAAAAUUAGACCAAAGACAGCACUCCUCCUUCACCUUGCUUCAAGAGUUCUAGCCCCUAGAACUCGAUUAGCCCUGUAUCGAUCAGGUUUUUCCAAGAACUUGACCCGACCCUCUC